Molecule: unclassified non-coding RNA, 395 nt
Filed under: soil metagenome
Description: partial contains 5.8S ribosomal RNA, internal transcribed spacer 2, and large subunit ribosomal RNA
Rfam family: 5.8S ribosomal RNA (bases 1-121)
Source: RNAcentral
GAUGAAGAACGUAGUGAACGUGCGAAACGUAAUGUGAAUUGCAGAAUUCAGUGAAUCAUCGAAUCUUUGAACGCAUCUUGCGCUCCUUGGUAUUCCGAGGAGCAUGCCUGUUUGAGUGUCGUGAAUACUCUCAACUUCAACCCUUUUUUCGGAAAGGGAGGAAGGUUGGACUUGGGUGUUUGUUGAAGUGCGAGCUUCGACUCAUCCUAAAUGCAUUAGCGAUCUGCCUCGAUCACACACAAUGUGAUAAUUAAAACUAAAGCAUUGUUUAAUGAUCAAGUCGAGACUGCUUCUUACUGUCGCAAGACAAUAACGUGCAUACAUUUGUGCAUGUCAUUUGACCUCAAAUCAGGUAGGACUACCCGCUGAACUUAAGCAUAUCAAUAAGCGGAGGA